Molecule: ribosomal RNA, 627 nt
Filed under: Oithona sp. 2012JH195
Lineage: Eukaryota; Metazoa; Arthropoda; Copepoda; Cyclopoida; Oithonidae
Description: eukaryotic LSU rRNA
Rfam family: Eukaryotic large subunit ribosomal RNA
Source: RNAcentral
AAAACAACCGUGAUGCCCUUAGUAAUGGCGAAUGAAACGGGCAGAGCCCAGCACCGAACUGCCGGCCAUCUCGGUCGCGUGGAAUGUGGUGUUUGGGAGAGCCUCAUCGCAGCGAGCCGAAGCGUUCAAGUACACCUUGACUGGGACCACGGCCCGUAGAGGGUGAUAGGCCCGUGAGACUUUUGGCUUGCUGCGCUGGCUUUUCCCUAGAGUCGAGUUGUUUGGGAGUACAGCUCAAAGCGCGUGGUAAACUCCACGUAAGGCUAAAUAUGACCCCGAGACCGAUAGCGAACAAGUACCGUGAGGGAAAGUUGAAAAGCACUUUGAAGAGAGAGUUCAAGAGUACGUGAAACCGCUUAGUAGUAAACGGAGGGGCUCUCGAAGUCGGCGGUGACGGUUCAGGGCGACGGCGGGGCGGCAUGGCGUUUUGGGAACCGCAAGGUCCCUGGCGCUUUGUUGGCUUUGUCGGCGCCUGCACUUCGUUGCCGCCAUACGCGACGAACCGUUUCUGACGGACCGAGGGCGUGGGUGAAGUUUGCGGGCCUCGGCCUUCAAGCCCCGCGUUCCUGGCUCUGUCGGGGACGGGUAGUGGAGCGAUCUCUUAUAGAGAGUGCCCUUGCUGGCACG